UUAUCUGGUUGAUCCUGCCAGCGUCAUACGCUCGAUUGAAGAUGAAGUCAUGCAUGUGUAAGUCUCCAUACUUGCCCGUGAAAGUGCAAAUGGAUCGUUUGAUCAUUGAUCUCUUUUUUGUAAUAGUACGUAUAUGGAUAUCCGGAGUUAUUGUAGGGCUAAUACAUGGGUUUUCUUUGGUGGGUAACCCGCAAGCAAGGACUUAUUAGACAUAAAACCAUUUUCUUAAUGGUCACUCAUAAUAAUUGUUUGACUUUUUCGCAUGCUUUUUUUGACUAGCGAUGUUCCUUUCUACUUCCGCCCUAUCAUAUUUCAAUGACUUGAAAUACACACUACCAUGGCAGUAAACGGUAACAAAAAAUUUGGGUUCUAUUUAGGAGAGGGAACCUGAAAGAUGGCUACCUCAUCCAUGGAAGGUACCAGACUCGUUAAUUACCCUAUCCUGACAAUGGGAGGUAGUGACAAUUAAUCUCAAUACCAAUACUUUGGUUUUGCUGAUGAAUUGAGACCUUUGUACAAUCGUUAUUGAUAAUCUAUUGGAGGGCAUGUCUGGUGCCAUCAUCCGCGGUAACUCCUGAUUACAGAGCGGAUAUUAUCGAUGAUGCAGU
RNAcentral lists this ribosomal RNA (608 nucleotides) under Blastocystis sp. RNAcentral describes it as "SSU rRNA". It matches the Rfam family "Eukaryotic small subunit ribosomal RNA", at positions 1 to 619 of the family's 1831-position model. The record is from RNAcentral. Lineage: Eukaryota; Bigyra; Opalinata; Blastocystidae.